This 833-nucleotide long non-coding RNA is filed under the name Olea europaea (common olive). Its description in RNAcentral is "long non-coding RNA (OEUR_LNC003532)". Lineage: Eukaryota; Viridiplantae; Streptophyta; Magnoliopsida; Lamiales; Oleaceae. The record is from RNAcentral.
UCGAUCAAGAGGUUAAAAGAUAGGACAAUUCCAAUAAUAAUUUCAUUUACUACAAGUCCAUUUUCAUUAAAUGUUUUUCUAAUUAAAGCUCCCUAUGAACAAGUAACUCUUAGGUUUCGUGCCAAUAUUGACCCUAUAUAGAAAGAAAUAGAGUUAGGUCAAUUAAAUAAAAAAAUGGUUGAACCUCAAUCUUGAGGGUCUCCACCGCCCCGUCCUUAGAGCUUUAUGAGGGAGGUAAAUCGCAAGAUGUGCCCCCAAUAAGUCAGGGAACAAGAGCUGCAUGUACAUUGCGCCUAUAAGAAGUCAAAUUCCAUAUCUCAGAAAUCAAACCCCCACACUGCGCUGCCAAUAAGACGUGAGAUAACAUCACUCCUAUCCUUUGAACCACUAAGCUAUGUCCCCGAGAGCAGGUCAAGUAAAUAGAUUGCAUGAGAAGGUGUUAUAACAACUUUAACAUUUAUUGUACUUUAAUGCUUCAUGGAUAGAAAUGAAUAAAUAAAAAUAUUGUUAUGAUUAAUAACUUUUUCUAAUGAGGUUUCAACACAUGUCUCCAUGCACGGCUAGAGGUCAACCAAUCAAUUGAGGUAUUUCCAUUAAAAAAAAUGUAUGCUUUGAAUGAUUUUACUAAUCCGUAAACAUAUCAAGAAAUCGAAAGGAAAACAAAUUUGGGUGUGAAACUUGUAUAAAAAAUGCAAUAGAUAUGUAUAAAAUGAUAUUACCUCUUACCGUCAUUGAAUUUCUAGCUAAUUUACAUACACGACGUUGAAAUGGAAUUCAAACUUUUCUUUUAGCCAAGCAAAAUAAGCAAAUUAUAGUAUGGAAAUAUAACUUAU